RNAcentral lists this ribosomal RNA (483 nucleotides) under uncultured bacterium. RNAcentral's name for it is "bacterial SSU rRNA". It matches the Rfam family "Bacterial small subunit ribosomal RNA", at positions 29 to 506 of the family's 1533-position model. The record is from RNAcentral.
AUUGAACGCUGGCGGCAUGCUUUACACAUGCAAGUCGAACGGCAGCACGGGGGCAACCCUGGUGGCGAGUGGCGAACGGGUGAGUAACGCAUCGGAACGUGCCCAGUAGUGGGGGAUAACACAUCGAAAGAUGUGCUAAUACCGCAUACGCACUGAGGUGGAAAGCGGGGGAUCGCAAGACCUCGCGCUAUUGGAGCGGCCGAUGUCCGAUUAGCUAGUUGGUAGGGUAAAGGCCUACCAAGGCGACGAUCGGUAGCUGGUCUGAGAGGAUGAUCAGCCACACUGGGACUGAGACACGGCCCAGACUCCUACGGGAGGCAGCAGUGGGGAAUUUUGGACAAUGGGCGAAAGCCUGACGCAGCGACGCCGCGUGGGUGAUGAAGGCCUUCGGGUCGUAAGCUCUGUGGGGAGAGACGAAUAAGACGUGGCGUAAUAUCUACGGCGAUGACGGUAGUCUCCUUAGCAAGCACCGGCUAACUCUGU